AUGGAACAGAAGCAGGUGGGUAAAGAUAGUUCACAGGAUCAAAUGCUCUUUUGUUGUUUCUCAAGGAAAGCAGAAGAAAAAAAUAGAAAAAAUAUGUUCAAAACUGUCUAUAUAUCACAUAAAAAAGACAAUAUUUUAUGCCAUAAGACAGUCAAGCUCUUAAGAAGUUUCAAAAUGGACAUAAAACUGUUGGCUCUAGAGGGCAGUCAUUCAAACUUACAGCAGAAGUGGAUGGAAUCUGCUGCUUUCAUCUCUCCCUUCAGAGAUGCUUUUCAACUUGACUGGAGUUAUAGAGCUAAAAUGGGAAUGUGGGUGGGGUAAUAACAAAAUACCCCGAGUACAGCUUAUGGUAAUGUUUCUUUUCUGUCUAGGGAAAGAUCUGGUCUCUAACAGGUUGGGGUUUUUGGGUAGAGGAAGCUGGUUCAGAUCUGGCUUAGCUUUGGGAAAACCAAAGUGACUCUCUCUGAAUAGCUGAAAGUGGGCACUGCAAAAAACCAGAAGGAAUGAUGCCAGCAGCAGGCAGUGACAGGAUGUGCUUUCUGUCAUGGCUAAGGGUGGAACAGAUACAGUCGGCUCGUCCAAUGCUGGUCCCUCAUCACUGAGGCAAGUGGCAUAGGGAAGCUGAGACUUCCCAAAUCCACACAAUGCCUAUCUGGGGAAUACUUACAAGACUCCCUUUUAUUAUGAUUUUAACUCAGUAUCUUCCUAUAGAAUCAUAUAUGUGAUUCUAUAGGAACAAACCACAUACAUAUGUGUGGUUUCAAAUUUAAUGGAAGUAUUACAGCUUUAGCAACUAAAAAGGAAAGAAAAAAGUAAAGAAUAUAUCUCUCCUGAUGGAGCAACUCCAGAUUAUGCACUGCACGGUAUGGCCCAAGGGAUGUCCAAUGCUUGCUUCAUUUGUGUCCUUUGACAUAGAUAUGCAAGUCAACCAAUAUAUAUAUAUUAAAAAUUAAGUAAGUUUCUUCAAAGGAAUGAUAUCUUUUCUCUACCAGUUUAUUUCCUUUGCAUGUAUAUUUUAUGGGGAAGAAAUAACAAAUCUGUUACCCUGUAAUUAAAUUGGAUUACAGAAUAAUUACAGUCUUGUUUGCUUUCUGCAGAUUACAUGGUAAUUAUACUUGGUAUUACCAUGAAAAACCAAGAAUUUCUAACUAUGUCAUUACAUGGUCAUUUCUACAAUACAAUACAACUGUUUAAUUAUACAUGCAGUUUCUUUACUUCAAUGGAAAAAUGAUUAAAAUAAUGCCAAAGCCUCAAAGUUCUGAACAAGUGCCAGCAUAUUAUAUAACAUUUAUAGUAUUGGUAGGCAUUUGUUUGUGUAUUU
RNAcentral lists this long non-coding RNA (1321 nucleotides) under Anser cygnoides (Swan goose). RNAcentral's name for it is "lncRNA (ENSACDG00005005260.1)". The record is from RNAcentral. Lineage: Eukaryota; Metazoa; Chordata; Aves; Anseriformes; Anatidae.